Molecule: ribosomal RNA, 261 nt
Filed under: uncultured prokaryote
Description: partial 16S ribosomal RNA
Rfam family: Bacterial small subunit ribosomal RNA
Source: RNAcentral
CACGUAGGAGGCAAACGUUAUCCGGAUUUACUGGGCGCAAAGCGCGUGUAGGUGGCUUGUCGCGUCUGCCGUGAAAACCCGAGGCUCAACCUCGGGCGUGCGGUGGGUACGGGCAGGCUAGAGUGUGGUAGGGGAGACUGGAACUCCUGGUGUAGCGGUGAAAUGCGCAGAUAUCAGGAAGAACACCGAUGGCGAAGGCAGGUCUCUGGGCCAUUACUGACACUGAGAAGCGAAAGCAUGGGUAGCGAACAGGAUUAGAUA